RNAcentral lists this transfer RNA (72 nucleotides) under Phrynosoma platyrhinos (Desert horned lizard). Its description in RNAcentral is "tRNA-OTHER". Lineage: Eukaryota; Metazoa; Chordata; Lepidosauria; Squamata; Phrynosomatidae. The record is from RNAcentral.
GCUAGAGUGGCAUCGUGGUCUGAGUGUUGGACUAUGGCUCUGGAGACCAGGGUUCAAAUCCCUGCUUGGCCA